Molecule: ribosomal RNA, 248 nt
Filed under: uncultured bacterium
Lineage: Bacteria
Description: partial 16S ribosomal RNA
Rfam family: Bacterial small subunit ribosomal RNA
Source: RNAcentral
UACAGAGGGGCAAGCGUUAUUCGGAAUUACUGGGCGUAAAGGGCGCGUAGGCGGCAAUUCAAGUCAUCUGUGAAUCUCCGGGCUUAACUCGGAACGGUCAAGUGAUACUGUCGUGCUAGAGUACAGAAGGGGCAACUGGAAUUCUCGGUGUAGCGGUGAAUGCGUAGAUAUCAAGAGGAACACCUGAGGCGAAGGCGGGUGCUAGGCUGACACUGACGCUGAAGCGCGAAAGCCAGGGAGCAAACGGG